This 138-nucleotide microRNA precursor is filed under the name Chlorocebus sabaeus (green monkey). Its description in RNAcentral is "miRNA (ENSCSAG00000020397.1)". The record is from RNAcentral. Lineage: Eukaryota; Metazoa; Chordata; Mammalia; Primates; Cercopithecidae.
UCCCCACCUUUUUUGACCUGUGGGUGCUUUAUUUGGGGUGAUGAGAGCUCUCAUUUGUGCUGGGGGCAGUUCUGAGCUUACAGGCCACUGAAGUCUUCAUAUACAACAGGGCCUUUUCCUUUUGUGGUUAGGUAGUCC